RNAcentral lists this ribosomal RNA (157 nucleotides) under Schistocerca americana (American grasshopper). RNAcentral describes it as "5.8S ribosomal RNA". It matches the Rfam family "5.8S ribosomal RNA". Rfam says of the family: 5.8S ribosomal RNA (5.8S rRNA) is a component of the large subunit of the eukaryotic ribosome. It is transcribed by RNA polymerase I as part of the 45S precursor that also contains 18S and 28S rRNA. Functionally, it is thought that 5.8S rRNA may be involved in ribosome translocation. The record is from RNAcentral. Lineage: Eukaryota; Metazoa; Arthropoda; Insecta; Orthoptera; Acrididae.
CACCCAGGACGGUGGAUCACUCGGCUCGUGGGUCGAUGAAGAACGCAGCAAAUUGCGCGUCGACAUGUGAACUGCAAGGACACAUGAAACAUCGACGUUUCGAACGCACAUUGCGGUCCAUGGAUUCCGUUCCCGGGCCACGUCUGGCUGAGGGUCG